This 243-nucleotide long non-coding RNA is filed under the name Trifolium pratense (red clover). RNAcentral describes it as "long non-coding RNA (TPRA_LNC009861)". The record is from RNAcentral. Lineage: Eukaryota; Viridiplantae; Streptophyta; Magnoliopsida; Fabales; Fabaceae.
CCAAGAACAUAAAUAUCCUAUGAUGAUAAGGCAAAAAGUAUACAAUUGUAUUUAUGCAAUUAACCUUGAAAUGCAACAAAAAUAAUGUCAUCAGUAGAACUUAUAUCCCAUCCUCGGACCAAUAUGCCUAUGAUGAAUCUAGAAAAACUUAAAAGUCCACUAGUCUAAUAGAAAUUUGCCUACCAACAACCUAUGCAAAUGAUUGCAUCAAUUGCAAAAAAAACCUACCUAUACAUUGAUGCU